CAUUGGAUGUAGCUGUGAAACUUCCAUGAUUGGUGCGGAAAACAGCAGAGUUGUGAAGACAACAGACAACUCCAUGACAACCCAAAGUACCACAGGGAAAUGAAAAGCUGUGGAUUCUUUCAAAGUUAAUUAAGAUUGGGUUUGACAAUGGAAGACCUCCAGAAAAUCUUGGCUGCUGAUGUGGAAAAAGAGACCCAGAAGAACAACCAAACAGACUGGUUGACGUAGAAACAGCAUUCUUCUUGGAGGAACAGGCAAAGACCCCUUCUUUAGCUGUCAAGAAAUCCAGCCCCCAUCGGUUCUGAAGCACUACAGCUGCCAAAGAAUCGAUUUGUUUCUGGAUACAAAGCGUUUAUUGCAUCUUGAAGAGGAGAGCUCAACUUGGAAUUUCUAUCGCUACAGGAUCAGAUGUGUUUGUGGCCAAGAUAGCGUGACCGAUGGCUAAAGGGCUAAAGAUCACCUGGAUAUUAAAUAGGGCAUAAGGCCCUCAG
This 491-nucleotide long non-coding RNA is filed under the name Rattus norvegicus (Norway rat). RNAcentral describes it as "long non-coding RNA NONRATT025092". Lineage: Eukaryota; Metazoa; Chordata; Mammalia; Rodentia; Muridae. The record is from RNAcentral.